CGAAGGGCGAGGGUGAGCCAGCGGAGCAGAGGAGGCGGAAGAGGGGACGGAGAGGAGGGGGACGGAGGGGUGAGCUCAUCGUGUGCCGGUUUAGUGCGGGCGCGGGAGCGGAACGGUGUAGGAGACACGGCGGUACGGCAGUGUGGUGGAGUUGAUGGCGGGAACCAAGGGCUACGUCGGAGGACGGCCCGCAGGAUAAGAUGCUGCGACCUGUUGCCGUCCGGGCGUGUGAGCUCUCCGCAGCCGCAGUAACUACCGCCGCUGAAGUCGGGAUAGAGAGAGGGGUCGGGAUAGAGAGAAGGGACUGGGAGAACUACCAGUCUCCCCACUGCCCCACCUAGCCCACCGCCUCUACCGCCUCAAGCCCGACCUCGCGAGUGCCCUACCUCCAGAGUAGAGCGCGAUGGAGCCGUGGUGGUACCCGACGUGGCCACUGGCCGGGGUUGUCCACGUGUACUUGUCGUUCCACACAAACCGCAGCAUGAACCGGCACCACGUCUUAUAGAACACCAAGAUGGGUUCCCAACUGUGGCUCGUGGCCCCGCUUGACGUCUCCAUCGCAGGGCGCAGGAAACAGUUGCAGGUAUCGUAGUUCCUGGAGGAGUGCGGGGACACGUCUACCGCGAGCGAGCACUAGUGUCCUUUGGCCUACUGCGUACACGGGUAACAGAUAGUAGCUGCUGUUCCAACCAAGACACAAUUCCGGGACGUAGGAGUCCAUUCUCCGGUACUAAGUAUUCCGUCCAUGAUUAACGUAGAAGUAGAGAUAAAAGUAAACCAGAGCUAAAGAAAGUGAACCACGACGUGUUCUAGUCCAGUCAAACCUUGGAGACGGAGGGUUUAAGGAUGCUGUCUUUUCUACGGGAAAGGUUCAUGAUGAAGUCGAAAAGAUAACCUACCUAUUGUUAUUUUGCUGUUGUUUAUAGAUAGUCUUAACUAAUAUUAGUCCCUACCUUCGUUGAGACAAAGUCAUCUCUUCGUUGACGGAAGUGAACUCUUAUUAGUCCAUAUCUGUUAACUAUGAAGGGUGGACACGUUCACAAGACUACAUCACACACAAUACGGUAGCCCUUCAUUAUAGACAAGGAAGGUAGUAACGAAGGCAUCCCAUCCCGUAAUACCAGACCGUAGAGGCAGGAGGGUCCAGUGAUUAUUAUGGAUAUCGACUACGAUCCGGGUAUUUUUCAAGUACAAUAAUGCAAUAUACAUAAUAGCUGGUUAUGUACAGAUCGUAAUGAGCCUAUUGUCUAGUUAUUAUCCUUCAACAAAUUACACCUAAAGGGAAAAAACCG
Molecule: ribosomal RNA, 1292 nt
Filed under: Triticum aestivum (bread wheat)
Lineage: Eukaryota; Viridiplantae; Streptophyta; Magnoliopsida; Poales; Poaceae
Description: partial small subunit ribosomal RNA
Source: RNAcentral